CCCUUAGAUGUCCUGGGCCGCACGCGCGCUACACUGAUGCAUUCAACGAGUUUUACCUUGGCCGAGAGGCCUGGGCAAUCUUUUAAACCUGCAUCGUGAUAGGGAUAGAUUAUUGCAAUUAUUAAUCUUGAACGAGGAAUUCCUAGUAAACGCAAAUCAUCAAUUUGCAUUGAUUACGUCCCUGCCCUUUGUACACACCGCCCGUCGCACCUACCGAUUGAAUGGUCCGGUGAAGCCUCGGGAUUGUGGCCAGUUCACUUUAUUGGGAGUUGGCUGUGAGAACUUGUCUAAACCUUAUCAUUUAGAGGAAGGUGAAGCCGUAACA
Molecule: ribosomal RNA, 325 nt
Filed under: uncultured eukaryote
Lineage: Eukaryota
Description: partial 18S ribosomal RNA
Rfam family: Eukaryotic small subunit ribosomal RNA
Source: RNAcentral